RNAcentral lists this long non-coding RNA (609 nucleotides) under Homo sapiens (human). RNAcentral's name for it is "non-protein coding lnc-CELF6-1:3". The record is from RNAcentral. Lineage: Eukaryota; Metazoa; Chordata; Mammalia; Primates; Hominidae.
GGGGAGACCAGCGGGCCAUGACAAGCUCCAGGCUUUGGUUUUCGCUGCUGCUGGCGGCAGCGUUCGCAGGACGGGCGACGGCCCUCUGGCCCUGGCCUCAGAACUUCCAAACCUCCGACCAGCGCUACGUCCUUUACCCGAACAACUUUCAAUUCCAGUACGAUGUCAGCUCGGCCGCGCAGCCCGGCUGCUCAGUCCUCGACGAGGCCUUCCAGCGCUAUCGUGACCUGCUUUUCGGUUCCGGGUCUUGGCCCCGUCCUUACCUCACAGGUCUUUCUCUGUCAUUCAGACUGGAGUGCAGUGGUGUGAUCACGGCUUACAGCAACCUCGAACUCCAGGACUCAAGCAGUCUUCCCGCCUCACUGAUGAGUAGCUAGGACUACAGACGCAUGCCACCGCACCCAGCUAAUUUUUUUAUUUUUUGCAUUUUGUAGAGAUGGGGGUCUUACUGUGUUGCCCAGGCUGGUCUUGAACCCCUGGCUUCAAGCGAUCCUCUUGUCUCGGCCUCCCCGAGUGCUGAGAUUACAGGUGUGAGCCACCAUUUAUUACCUAAAGCAUGAUACUUUUCUAGUAUCCCUGUAUAGUACUGAGUCCAAGAAGCUAAACUUG